RNAcentral lists this ribosomal RNA (440 nucleotides) under uncultured bacterium. RNAcentral describes it as "partial 16S ribosomal RNA". It matches the Rfam family "Bacterial small subunit ribosomal RNA", at positions 338 to 795 of the family's 1533-position model. The record is from RNAcentral.
CCUACGGGUGGCAGCAGUGGGGGAUAUUGCACAAUGGGGGGAACCCUGAUGCAGCGACGCCGCGUGGGUGAAGGAGCGUUUCGGCGCGUAAAGCCCUAUCGGCAGGGAAGAAAGAGGACGGUACCUGGGGAGGACGCUCCGGCUAACUACGUGCCAGCAGCCGCGGUAAUACGUAGGGAGCGAGCGUUGUCCGGAAUUACUGGGUGUAAAGGGAGCGUAGGCGGGGAGGCAAGUUGGUGGUAAAAACUACCGGCUCAACUGGUAGUCGCACUCAAAACUGCAGCUCUUGAGUGAAGUAGAGGCAGGCGGAAUUCCGAGUGUAGCGGUGAAAUGCGUAGAUAUUAGGAGGAACACCAGUGGCGAAGGCGGCCUGCUGGGCUUUGACUGACGCUGAGGCUCGAAAGUGUGGGGAGCAAACAGGAUUAGAUACCCCUGUAGUC